Molecule: ribosomal RNA, 242 nt
Filed under: uncultured bacterium
Lineage: Bacteria
Description: partial 16S ribosomal RNA
Rfam family: Bacterial small subunit ribosomal RNA
Source: RNAcentral
CGACCGGCGCACGGGUGAGUAACACGUAUCCAACCUGCCGUCUACUCUUGGCCAGCCUUCUGAAAGGAAGAUUAAUCCAGGAUGGGAUCAUGAGUUCACAUGUCCGCAUGAUUAAAGGUUUACCGGUGUAAGAUGGGGAUGCGUUCCAUUAGAUAGUAGGCGGGGUAACGGCCCACCUAGUCUUCGAUGGAUAGGGGUUCUGAGAGGAAGGUCCCCCACAUUGGAACUGAGACACGGUCCAA